CUACGGGAGGCUCCAGUCGAGAAUAUUCCACAAUGGGCGAAAGCCUGAUGGAGCGACGCCGCGUGCAGGAAGAAGGCCCUUGGGUCGUAAACUGCUUUUCUUAGGGAAAAAUGUAAUGAUGGUACCUAAGGAAUAAGAGGUUGCUAACUCUGUGCCAGCAGCAGCGGUAAUACAGAGACCUCAAGCGUUAUCCGGAUUUAUUGGGCGUAAAGAGCAUGUAGGCGGAUAUAUUAGUCAGAUGUCAAAUCUUCGAGCUUAACUCGAAAACUGCAUUUGAAACGGUAUAUCUUGAGGAAGUGAGAGAUCAAUGGAACGUAUGGUGUAGCAGUAAAAUGCGUUGAUAUCAUACGGAACACCAAAGGCGAAGGCAUUUGAUUGGCACUUUUCUGACGCUGAGAUGCGAAAGCGUGGGUAGCGAAUGGGAUAGAUACCCCCGUAGUC
Molecule: ribosomal RNA, 441 nt
Filed under: uncultured bacterium
Lineage: Bacteria
Description: partial 16S ribosomal RNA
Rfam family: Bacterial small subunit ribosomal RNA
Source: RNAcentral